CUGGAGUUCAGAAAGUGGAAUCACAUGUGUGAAACUUGCUGUUUCUUUUAUCUUUACUGAAAGGCAAAAAUACUUGUGAAUAAAAUAGAGUAGAAAUAAAGUAUUCUGUAUCUGCUCAUUGUUCUUCCUAUGAUUAAUUAAACACUCCAAAAGCCCAACUUUUCUUUAGCGACUCAGAGGUCUGGACAAUGAGGAGCAUAGAUGAGAAUUUUAGAACUUAAAAGCAAAGAAAUGGCAAGUUUUUCAGUGCAGUUGUUCUUUUCUUUGUUAGGCAUGUUCUAUCUCUUGUGGACUCAGCAAAUAAAUAUUUACAAGUACUUCUAAAAUACAUAUAAUUUACCUUUGGAUGGCUUUAUAAUUGCUUUACUGACACCUAUAGAACCUAAAACAUCUUCAUAUGUGCAUAGUAUGUUUUCUCUCCUCUGGCUUUUAAAGCUUUUCCUUUUGUGCCAGAUAUCUGGUUAUAGAAAUAAAAAGAUUAGAUUGUUUUCUCCAACGCCUCAGGCAUACAGAAUCAGUUGUAACCAAGAUAGUCACUAGGAUCUUCAGCUGAGAGUCAUAUGAUUAUAUAUCUUUGCAUUCUCUAUAAAUCAACAUGAAUUGCACUUGCUCUCACAUGACAUUUCAAAAGUUUUCUCUAAUCCCUUAAUGGGAUAUGAUCUGAAAAGCCUAUUGGAACUGAAUGAAGCCCCUUCGCAAAGGAAACUUCAGUAUAAUGAAAAGAUCCUGAGUUUAAUUUGUCUAAUGAUGUAUUUCCAGCCACUUUAAAAAAGAAAACAGUUAAAGGAGGCAAGGAUAAAUAUUAGGGCUGUCAAACGAUUGAAAAAAUCCUCAGUCCUGAAAUUAAAAAAUAGUCGCUAUUAAUAGCAGUUUUAAUCAUACUCUUAAUAAUAGAAUGCCAAAUUAAAUUCAGCAUGGAAGCAUGUCCUCUGGAAUGGUGGUCGAAGCAUGAAGGGGUAUACGAACGUUUAGCAUAUCUGUGUGAUUACUCAGUGUAGCAAGUCAUGGCGUCAGAUUCCAUCAGGUGGUCGAGGGACAUCUAUUUAGAACACAUCACUGGACAUCGGCAAUACCAGGAGAGAUGAGCUGAAGUGCCGUUGAGAACCAAAGUCGAGAAAAUAACUGGAAUACUUCUCUGAUGGAUUGUAUCUACUGAAGGACAACCUAUCCUAAAUGCUGCACUCAUUGCUAUAUUUGCUUUCCACAAGCUACUCUCUGUAUAACCUUUCAUGAGUGUUGUACCCAAAUAUUUGAAUGCUAAUAUCUAAAUUGUAUAGUUUAUUAACUUAAAUUUAGGUUAUUGCAAGUUAUGUAGUAUAUGUAUUGCAUUACUUUUAAAUCAAAUUUUGUACUUUUGGACAAUUUAAGCACUAUGCCCAGAUGUACAGACACUCUUUCCUUAACCUGUGUAUUAUAUAAUUUUAACACUAGCUUUAAUUAAAAAAAAAUUAAAUUA
Malaclemys terrapin pileata is the source of this 1456-nucleotide long non-coding RNA. RefSeq lists it as uncharacterized. NCBI's taxonomy places the organism in Eukaryota, Metazoa, Chordata, Testudines, Emydidae. The record is from RefSeq and is a predicted model, not a curated record. The transcript has 2 exons.